RNAcentral lists this ribosomal RNA (214 nucleotides) under uncultured fungus. Its description in RNAcentral is "partial small subunit ribosomal RNA". The stretch from base 47 to 214 matches the Rfam family "Eukaryotic small subunit ribosomal RNA", at positions 694 to 864 of the family's 1831-position model. The record is from RNAcentral. Lineage: Eukaryota; Fungi.
GGCCGGGUCUGGCGGUCAGUCCAAUGGGCUGCUACUGCUGGCCUGGUCUUUCCUUCUGGGGAACUUGUGUGCACUUUACUGUGUGUGCAAGGGAUCCAGGACUUUUACUUUGAAAAAAUUAGAGUGUUUAAAGCGGGUUUUUGCUUGAAUACAUUAGCAUGGAAUAAUAGAAUAGGACUUUGGUUCUAUUUUGUUGGUUUCUAGGACCGAAGUA